AUAGCAUGUUGGUGAACUUUUGUAGUUCAAACGUAUGUUACUUGCAUUACAACUGAAAACUAUACGAUGCAAUUUUUUUUUUUUUUGGCUAGAAAAAGGAAAUUACAAGGAUUUGCCACGACAACCUGGGUUCCAUGCUUUUUCGCUAGCUAUAUUAGUAAACACAUCAGCUACAAAGUUAGCUUCCCCAACCAUUCGCAAAACUGAAUUCAUUGAAAGAAAGAAUCCAAAUGCAUGAUUCCCCUUAAGAUAUGUAGUCAAUGAGGAUUCUGGAGUCACCUUUAACCAUGAUUUUGAGUAGCCCGCAAGAGCAGCGGUACUUUCUGCAGUAACUACAAUGCAAAUGACCAAAAUCACACAAGUCAAUCUGAAGCUUAUCAAUAACUCCUGAAGGUCAGUAAGGAGUCUAAUAAACAAUAAUUAAUGGAAAAAAAAAAAUCUGUGACUUCUAGAUUGUCCUAGAGUGCCAAAUAAUUGGUUUUGAUACGAAAAUGUCGAAUUCUAUGUUUUGGUUUCUUCAAAUAAUUGGUCAAAAUUAAAUUAAAAAAAAAUUGGUUGCCCUAGAAAGCUUUGGUUGAUCUCUUCACAUAAUGUGGCUCAUCGCAAUCUUUAUCCUCUAGAUUAGUUAUAUGUGUAGAAAAUCUUGAUUGACCAAUCAAGUGAAAGAUACUUGAUUUAUACAUAUUCAGGAGGAGGAACAGAUAAACCAAUCAAUAAAACGAUCACUCCAUGCAUCAAGCUGUAAAUAAUGUUAACUUGCCUUGCCUUGAUUUUGCUCACACACAUGCACACGCAUAUUUGUCGGUCUAAUAAACCCACUCUUCAUUCACGCUAUCUC
This 838-nucleotide long non-coding RNA is filed under the name Prunus persica (peach). RNAcentral describes it as "long non-coding RNA (PPER_LNC007818)". The record is from RNAcentral. Lineage: Eukaryota; Viridiplantae; Streptophyta; Magnoliopsida; Rosales; Rosaceae.